GAGGAAACUCGGAUUAAUACUCGAUAUUGUUUUAGAUUCGCAUGAAUUUAAAAUUAAAGCUCCGGCGGUACAAGAUUGUCAUGCGUGACAUUAGAUAGUUGGUGAGGUAACGGCUCACCAAGUCAGCGAUGUCUAGGGGUUCUGAGAGGAUUAUCCCCCACACUGGUACUGAGACACGGACCAGACUCCUACGGGAGGCAGCAGUGAGGAAUAUUGGUCAAUGGGCGCAAGCCUGAACCAGCCAUGCCGCGUGCAGGAAGACUGCCCUACGGGUUGUAAACUGCUUUUGUACAGGAAGAACCCCACUACGUGUAGUGGUUUGACGGUACUGUACGAAUAAGGAUCGGCUAACUCCGUGCCAGCAGCCGCGGUAAUACGGAGGAUCCAAGCGUUAUCCGGAUUUAUUGGGUUUAAAGGGUGCGUAGGCGGUUAAUUAAGUCAGUGGUGAAAUCCUGCAGCUCAACUGCGGAACUGCCAUUGAUACUGGUUGACUAGAGUAUGCGUGAAGUUGGCGGAAUGCGACAAGUAGCGGUGAAAUGCAUAGAUAUGUCGCAGAACCCCAAUUGCGAAGGCAGCUGACUAAAGCAUAACUGACGCUGAUGCACGAAAGCGUGGGUAUCGAACAGGAUUAGAUACCCUGGUAGUCCACGCUGUAAACGAUGAUAACUGGUUGUGCGCGAUACACAGUGCGCGACUGAGGGAAACCAUUAAGUUAUCCACCUGGGGAGUACGUUCGCAAGAAUGAAACUCAAAGGAAUUGACGGGGGCCCGCACAAGCGGAGGAACAUGUGGUUUAAUUCGAUGAUACGCGAGGAACCUUACCCGGGCUUAAAUGUAGAUUGCAUGAUUCAGAGAUGGAUCUUUCUUUCACGAGACUAUUUACAAGGUGCUGCAUGGUUGUCGUCAGCUCGUGCCGUGAGGUGUCGGGUUAAGUCCCAUAACGAGCGCAACCCCUAUCCUUAGUUGCCAACAGGUCAAGCUGGGAACUCUAAGGAGACUGCCGCCGCAAGGCGCGAGGAAGGUGGGGAUGACGUCAAAUCAGCACGGCCCUUACGUCCGGGGCUACACACGUGUUACAAUGGCAGGUACAGAGGGCAGCUACAUGGCGACAUGAUGCUAAUCUCGAAAGCCUGUCUCAGUUCGGAUCGUAGUCUGCAACCCGACUACGUGAAGUUGGAUUCGCUAGUAAUCGCAUAUCAGCCAUGAUGCGGUGAAUACGUUCCCGGGCCUUGUACACACCGCCCGUCAAACAAUGGAAGCUGGGGGUACCUGAAGUCUGUAACCGCAAGGAGCGGCCUAGGGUAAAACUAGUAACUGGUGUUGAGUCGGAACAAGGUA
This 1338-nucleotide ribosomal RNA is filed under the name metagenome. Its description in RNAcentral is "bacterial SSU rRNA". It matches the Rfam family "Bacterial small subunit ribosomal RNA", at positions 150 to 1498 of the family's 1533-position model. The record is from RNAcentral.